GCUGAGCUAGCUCAGCUGGUAGAGCAUGAGACUCUUAAUCUCAGGGUUGUGGAUUCGAGCCCCAUGUUGGAUG
This 73-nucleotide transfer RNA is filed under the name Fulmarus glacialis (Northern fulmar). It matches the Rfam family "tRNA". From Rfam's summary of the family: Transfer RNA (tRNA) molecules are approximately 80 nucleotides in length. Their secondary structure includes four short double-helical elements and three loops (D, anti-codon, and T loops). Lineage: Eukaryota; Metazoa; Chordata; Aves; Procellariiformes; Procellariidae. The record is from Rfam by way of RNAcentral.